AUGGGUUCUCCCGGGAAACUGGGGCUAAUAUCCGAUAGGCGAGAGAUCCUGGAAUGGGUUCUCACCCAAAAGAUGUUAAAACCGUGCUUUUGACAUUGCUUGAAGAUGAGGCCGCAUCCGAUCAGGUUGUUGGUGAGGUAACGGCUCACCAAGCCUAUAACCGGUACGGGCCGUGAGAGCGGGAGCCCGGAGAUGGGCACUGAGACAAGGGCCCAGGUCCUACGGGGCGCAGCAGUUGCGAAAACUCCGCAAUGCGCGAAAGCGUGACGGGGCUACCCCGAGUGCUGUCCGCUGAGGAUGGCUUUUAUUCGGUGUAAUGAGCCGGAGGAAUAAGGAGAGGGCAAGACUGGUGUCAGCCGCCGCGGUAAUACCAGCUCUCCGAGUGGUGGGGACGAUUAUUGGGCCUAAAGCGUCCGUAGCUGGUCAGGUAAGUGUCCCGUUAAAUCCGACGACCUAAUCGUCGUGCCGCGGGAUAUACUGCCCGACUAGGGGACGGGAGAGGUCGACGGUAUUCCUGGAGUAGGGGUGAAAUCCUAUAAUCCCAGGAAGACCACCAGUGGCGUAGGCGGUCGACCAGAACGUGCCCGACAGUGAGGGACGAAAGCUGGGGGAGCGAACCGGAUUAGAUACCCGGGUAGUCCCAGCCGUAAACGAUGCGGGCUAGGUGUUGGAUCGGCUACGGGCCGAUCCAGUGCCGCAGGGAAGCCAUUAAGCCCGCCGCCUGGGUAGUACGGCCGCAAGGCUGAAACUUAAAGGAAUUGGCGGGGGAGCAC
RNAcentral lists this ribosomal RNA (773 nucleotides) under uncultured archaeon. Its description in RNAcentral is "bacterial SSU rRNA". It matches the Rfam family "Archaeal small subunit ribosomal RNA", at positions 120 to 879 of the family's 1478-position model. The record is from RNAcentral.